CAGUAUUAUUAAAAGGGCGAACUACUACGGUAAAUUUUAAUUAGUCUUCUGAGAGAUGUGGCACAAUUUUAUCUCAAAAAGCUGAGCUUGCUGGAGGAAUGAUACUUUUACGCAUUUUCGAGAAGUGACGUUUGCUUGGGAAACUGUUAACGCGUGGGAUAAACUGCGAGAGUAUCUUGGUUCUUUCGAGUGCGAUGUCAGCCGAUGUGUAAGAGGAUCAACAUCUGAGCUUUUAUCCUUUCGAGUAUCCUACAAACUUUAAUUAAAAACCAGACAAGGAGAGCGUGUAAAAUAUACGUCUGCCAUCUUCGUUCGUCACGGGAUGUUUCAUAACGCGAAAACAGACAUGAAAUAACACUCGAAGAUUACGGAUUAAUUUUAUUGGAUAAUAAAAGUAAAAUGCUAGUUGGCGAUAGUGUGACGUUUGCAUAAAAAUGUAUUGCCCUUCAAAAUACCAGGAGAUUUCUAAAACGCAAUAAACUAUAUUAAAAGUUAAUUACAACAGUUUAAGCAUC
Molecule: non-coding RNA, 515 nt
Organism: Linepithema humile (Argentine ant)
Lineage: Eukaryota; Metazoa; Arthropoda; Insecta; Hymenoptera; Formicidae
Source: RefSeq, a predicted model, not a curated record